UCUUCCGGUUCUCGUUAGAUCACCGAAGUCAAGCAUCAUAGGGCGCGGUCAGUAUUUGGGUGGGUGACCACCUGGGAACACCGCGUGCUGUU
Molecule: ribosomal RNA, 92 nt
Filed under: Caerostris extrusa
Lineage: Eukaryota; Metazoa; Arthropoda; Arachnida; Araneae; Araneidae
Source: RNAcentral